GCCUGGGUGGCUCAGUCGGUUCAGCAUCUGACUUUGGCUUAGGUCGUGAUCUCACAGUUUGUGGGUUCAAGCCCUGCAUCAGGCU
Molecule: transfer RNA, 85 nt
Filed under: Felis catus (domestic cat)
Lineage: Eukaryota; Metazoa; Chordata; Mammalia; Carnivora; Felidae
Rfam family: tRNA
About the family: Transfer RNA (tRNA) molecules are approximately 80 nucleotides in length. Their secondary structure includes four short double-helical elements and three loops (D, anti-codon, and T loops). Further hydrogen bonds mediate the characteristic L-shaped molecular structure. tRNAs have two regions of fundamental functional importance: the anti-codon, which is responsible for specific mRNA codon recognition, and the 3' end, to which the tRNAs corresponding amino acid is attached (by aminoacyl-tRNA synthetases). tRNAs cope with the degeneracy of the genetic code in two manners: having more than one tRNA (with a specific anti-codon) for a particular amino acid; and 'wobble' base-pairing, i.e. permitting non-standard base-pairing at the 3rd anti-codon position.
Source: Rfam by way of RNAcentral